GUUAUACUCCCUUCGUCCGAAAAUACUUGUCCUAGAAAUGAACAUAAUGAAUGUAUAUAUAACUAAAAUAAGUCUAGAUACAUUCAUCUCUAAAACAAGUAUUUCCGGAUGGAGGAAGGACAAGUAUUUCCGGACGGAGGAAGUAUAUG
Molecule: non-coding RNA, 149 nt
Organism: Hordeum vulgare subsp. vulgare (domesticated barley)
Lineage: Eukaryota; Viridiplantae; Streptophyta; Magnoliopsida; Poales; Poaceae
Source: Rfam